AUUGAACGCUGGCGGCAGGCCUAACACAUGCAAGUCGAGCGAGCGGCGGACGGGUGAGUAAUGUAUGGGGACUGCCCGAUAGAGGGGGAUAACUACUUGAAACGGUAGCUAAUACCGCAUACUAUCGGAUAACCCAUAUGGGAUUAGCUCUUUGGUGGGGUAAAGGCUCACCAAGGCAACGAUCCGUAGCUGGUUUGAGAGGACGACCAGCCACACGGGGACUGAGACACGGCCCAGACUCUUACGGAGGCAGAAGUGGGGAAGUUGGGACAAGGGGGGAAACCCUGAUCGAGCCAUCCCGCGUGUAUGAUGAAGGCCUUCGGGUUGUAAAGUACUGUUGGCAGAGAAGCGGUAGCUGAAGAAUAAGCACCGGCUAACUACGGGCCAGCAGCCGCGGUAAUAC
RNAcentral lists this ribosomal RNA (403 nucleotides) under uncultured bacterium. RNAcentral describes it as "partial 16S ribosomal RNA". It matches the Rfam family "Bacterial small subunit ribosomal RNA", at positions 30 to 526 of the family's 1533-position model. The record is from RNAcentral.